Molecule: ribosomal RNA, 492 nt
Filed under: uncultured bacterium
Lineage: Bacteria
Description: partial 16S ribosomal RNA
Rfam family: Bacterial small subunit ribosomal RNA
Source: RNAcentral
AGUGAACGCUGGCGGUAGGCCUAACACAUGCAAGUCGAACGACAGCACAGUAAGAGCUUGCUCUUACGGGUUGCGAGUGGCGGACGGGUGAGGAAUACAUCCGAAUCUACUUUUUCGUGGGGGAUAACGUAGGGAAACUUACGCUAAUACCGCAUACGACCUACGGGUGAAAGCAGGGGAUCUUCGGACCUUGCGCGAUUGAAUGAGCCGAUGUCGGAUUAGCUAGUUGGCGGGGUAAGGGCCCACAAAGGCGACGAUCCGUAGCUGGUCUGAGAGGAUGAUCAGCCAAACUGGAACUGGGACACGGUCCAGACUCCUACGGGAGGCAGCAGUGGGGAAUAUUCGACAAGGGGCGAAGGCCUGAGGCAGAAAUACCGCGUGGGUGAGGAAGGCCUUCGGGUUGUAAGGCCCUUUUGUUGGGAAAGAAGAGCAGCAGGUUAAUACCCCGAUGUUCUGACGGUACCCAAAUAGUAAGCACCGGCUAACUUCGUG